CGCGUAGGCGGCUUUGCAAGUGACGGGUGAAAUCCCUCGGCUUAACCGAGGAACUGCCUGUCAAACUGCAUGGCUUGAGACCGGGAGAGGUGAGUGGAAUUCCCAGUGUAGCGGUGAAAUGCGUAGAUAUUGGGAGGAACACCAGUGGCGAAGGCGGCUCACUGGACCGGAACUGACGCUGAUGCGCGAAAGCGUGGGGAGCAAACA
This 207-nucleotide ribosomal RNA is filed under the name uncultured bacterium. Its description in RNAcentral is "partial 16S ribosomal RNA". It matches the Rfam family "Bacterial small subunit ribosomal RNA", at positions 568 to 774 of the family's 1533-position model. The record is from RNAcentral.